Cyprinus carpio carpio is the source of this 3237-nucleotide long non-coding RNA. NCBI's taxonomy places the organism in Eukaryota, Metazoa, Chordata, Actinopteri, Cypriniformes, Cyprinidae. The record is from Ensembl.
AUUGAACUGUAUAAUUGACCAGCAUCCUACAAUACUGUGCUUAGCCAUCACGUAUCAUGCCGUCAUCUUUUAAUUUCACUCAAAUAAAUGUUUCAUGAACAUUUUUUUCUCAGGUAUUCCAGUAUUAAGCAGUAUAAUGUACAGUCAUUAUCACAAAAUGAUUUUAUUCUGUCAUUAUAACAAAUUAAACCCCUUCAGGGUGAUACAAGACCUAAUCACCGGUCUGGGUUUAUUUUGUGAUAAUGACAGCACAUUUUCCAAUACAUAUAUAAUGAAAUGACAGAAGCUAAGUGAUGUGCCAUACAAAUUAAAAAAAAAAAAAAAAAAAAAAAAAUCCAUCACAGUGUAUGUUCAGGUGCAUAGUGUUAAUGCACCACAUUUAUCCCAGUACAAAUUAGAGUUGUACAGUUUUGUGACAUUUAAUAAUCUGAAAAUUGGAAUGAACAAGAUGCUAGACUUGAGCUUAUGAAUAUUAAUUAGGUGAAGUUCAUUCAUUAGUUCUACCUGAUUAUCUUAAAAGCCAGAUGCUGGAUUAUUCUUAAUCACAUCUGUAUUUCCAGUAUAUAGUCGGAGAAGGGCAUAUGGUUGCUACACUUUUUUUCAUCCCUGCAUUUUAUUCUCAUAUAGAUCUUCCACUGAACAGGUAAUUAGAUAAAGAUAAAGAACAAAUCCAUAUAUUCAUAAUAUGCAGUGUUAUAUGUGUGAUGAUGAGCAGGCACAGACAGACUCUGUCAGCAUGAAGAGGAUUGUGUGUCCUGAAGCGUAAGAGUGUCUGUCCUGCCAUAUGUGGACAUUAUGUCCAUGUGCUUGCCUUUCUUUAUGCGUUAGGCCCUGCAUAUUGGUAUGUAUGCAUGAGAUCACCCACACUAAGCCACCCAAUCGAGCAUGUCUCCCAUGGGCUUUCACAGCGCCUUCGCCACGUAAAUCAAAGGCGUGGAAGCAACUCACCAGUUCAAAGCGCAGCAGCGAAGUGGAUUGUUCUGGAAGGAUCUGAGAAUGGCUCACUCAGCCAUUAAACUGGGUCCAGUGCAGGAGACAGGUAGGACAGCUUUGUGUUUCUGCUUUAUUCAGUCCUUGAAUGGGAUUCAUGCUCAACAAUGGGUCACGAGACUCCUGAGAUCAGAGUCUCUGAUAAGCACCAGGAGCAGAAGGAUGGAGAGAGCGAGAGUGUUUGCGCCUUGGCUUUUCUCCAUUAUCCCUGUCCAGCUCUUAACUGGGCCUUGCCUGUCAGGAAAUCAAUUAGGGUACGUGGAGGAAUGAAGAGAGCAAUAGAGGUACAGAAUGCACACACAUGAUGGAGAAAACUGCAAAGCUGCUAACUUAUUUAUCUUUUUUUUUCUUUUGCAAACAUGUAAUGUACAAACCAGAAAAACUUUCACCUUUUGAAAUGCACACUUGAAUGCAUGAAAAUGAGGUUUUGUUUACAGGACGCAUUCUCCUUUGUUGUUUUAGAUCUUUGAAGAUUAAAUUUAUGAGCUCUAUAUUUUUAGACAAACUGUAGGCCCACACUAUUUCAAAAAGACUUGAUUUAUUUAAGAUAUUUAUCAUUGUAGUUUAUCACAUCCAGCUUUCUUUGCCCCUGAGGUUUCCACAUGAAGUUAUCAACCUUGGAAAGAAAGCGAUGGGACGUGAUAAGGUACUGUUAUCAGCCACAUCUGUUUAACCUGCAGGUUUUUUUCCGCCCUGUGACUUUGAAAAAGCAAGACAGCUAUCAGUGAAACCUAAUAGAGAACUCUGUCGCUCUGCCUCAUGCCUCAGGCUGCUUAUAUUUCUAGAUUUAAAGGGAUACUCCAACCAAUAAUUCAUUUACUCACCCUCAUGACAUUCCAAACCUGUAUGACUUUCUUUUGUCCAUGGAAGGCAAAGAAUGACGUUUAAUAGAAUGUCCAAGCUGCUCUUUUUCCGUGAGUAGUUUAGCACCCCAUGUACUCUUAUUUUUAGAAAUUAAAUUAAAUUUUUGCUAACUAUCCCUUUAAAAACAGGGCUUGUCAACUCAAUCAUCACCUGCUUAUUCUGCCAGUUUCAUCAAUUAAUCCGCCUCUCUUUCCAUGUUUCCUUCCUCAAGGUGACCGCAUGAUGCAAGUUGACGCAUGGCGCCUGUAAAACAGAUUGCAUUUAUGAUAAUGAGGCUAGUUGAGGGUAACAUCAAAGCAUAUUUUCAUUCCAUCACUUUCAAGGCUGACAUCUCCAAUCAAUGCGAAACUGAUUGUGAAUCAAUUUCCUAAUGAUGGGAAAUCAAUAUUUAAUCUGUGAAUGUAGGGUGAGAUCUUGGUCAAGGUGAAGGUUUUCCCACAAUCCUGUACUUCCGAGUGAACUGUUUUAUGUUUCACCUUCGAGUACAAAGCUGAAGCUUCUGGCAGAGUAUUAAGGAAUUCACACUAUCAUCUAUCUUUCUAAAAGAAACAAGCAAAUAAAUAAAUAAGAAUCACUGAGAAGGGAAACUCUCUGAGCUCAUAGCUCCCGACUAUCCUUUAUUUCUCAGAUUUUUUCCUCUAACAGCUGCACUGUUCGCAGUUUUCAUUUUGUCAUAUCCGGCCUUCAGAUAUCCCAGCUAAGCUUCUGCUGAGGUGACCCAUCACUCUUCGUAGUUGAGCCAAGCUCUGAAAAAAGUACACUGCUUUACUGCUCGCCAUGUGUGACAGGCUCCCUUGUGCGUCUAUGAGAGAGUCUGAGUGUUUGCCCAGCCUUGGUUUCCUUCCUUUCCUGUUCUAUUGCAGAAGAUCUUUGGUGUGAAAGGCAAUCCUAUUACCACAGCCCGGCGAUAAGGGGGACUGGCUUGCUCACAAAGAACAAACCGGAGAAAGCGAGCUUCCAUUGGCUUUGGUUUAACCCAGGGCCAAACAUUCUGGUGAGGUUUUCAUCCCAUCAUUUCAAGGAAAUUGGGUCUUCGGCUGAGAUAGUAUGUGUUUAGGAGAUGGAAUAAGGUGUGAAAUUUCACCACAUCCGGCUGCUGCAUCAUCAGCAACACAAGCGAGAAGAAAAAGUGGCAGCUCAGAAAGCCCAGAGUGGUGCUGAAUAGUUCACACAUCUCUAGGUCUGAAAAUUAUGCUAAGGAAUGCAAAAUGCUAAAAGCCUUUUUGAAGUAUUCAUAUUAGGACUUGUAUUAAAGACACAUGAUCAGGUUUUUACAGUCAGGACUUAGAAUUUCAACCAUCUGUGAGUAGUUCUCUUAGAUAUUUAUUUGACAGAUAUACUGGCAACAUAUUUCUUAUUCCAGCUAAAAUAAUGGUGUUUCUU